CCUACGGGGGGCAGCAGUGGGGGAUAUUGCACAAUGGGGGAAACCCUGAUGCAGCAACGCCGCGUGAGUGACGAAGGUCUUCGGAUUGUAAAACUCUGUUCUUGGUGAAGAUAAUGACGGUAGCCAAGGAGAAAGCUCCGGCUAACUACGUGCCAGCAGCCGCGGUAAUACGUAGGGAGCGAGCGUUGUCCGGAAUUACUGGGUGUAAAGGGUGCGUAGGCGGCCUUGCAAGUCAGGCGUGAAAACCAUGGGCUCAACCCGUGGACUGCGUUUGAAACUGUGAGGCUUGAGUGAAGUAGAGGUAG
Molecule: ribosomal RNA, 305 nt
Filed under: uncultured bacterium
Lineage: Bacteria
Description: bacterial SSU rRNA
Rfam family: Bacterial small subunit ribosomal RNA
Source: RNAcentral